CCUCGUCUACGCCUCCAAAACGUCGAAGCCGCACGUGAGGAUCUCCAUAAUAGCAAAUUUCUCCCCCGAGCCUAGACAUCAGUUGUUCGGUGGCAGCCUAGCCUUUAGAGGAGGCACAGGGCUCGCGUUGCCGCUCGAGGUGCCACUACUAAGGGGAUUGCCGUGGCAGGGUCUGAACUUGGUAAGAUGGUGGGGGCCUGAGCAUCUUGCGGUCAAAGCGAGGGAGAGCUCUCCGACGGCCCAGUCAGGCCUUUCCGAGGUGUGAACAUCAAGAUGCAGUGUCAAUGGACCCUCGUCAUGGUUCUUGAUAGAAGGUGAGGCUCGUGCUCUUCCUUCCUCGAUUUUCGGUCCUUCCAGUUCCUGCGGUUUUCUCAUGGGAUUUUCCGUUUUUCGCCAUCGAUGGUGCUGGAGGAGAUUUCGCGUGCAGAUGACCGCCUCUGAGCUCUUGACGCUGAGCACCGUGGUCUGUUUGCGGCCAUAGACCUCGUGUGCAGUCAUCUCGGAGUUUUGUGGUUGAGGGAGAUGUCUGCCUAGACUUCCCGGAUGACGCCUAUCGCCGGCUACAUUCAUGAAUUGGAGGUUGUCGCGUUCCGGCUCGGGGUCCACCAUGCCCUGGUCACCGCUCGGCCUCUCGGUAAGGACUAAAUUGAGUAUGUUUUGGAUUGAGUAUGCUUUGGAUGUCAAAUGGUUCGUCAAGCCAAAUUUUAUCAACUUAACAGUAAAAUAAUUUUAUCAACUCAACAGUAAAAUAACUCUCUAAUACUAGCCGUCUAACUCGCUAAGCUAUUCGAUUCUCUAAAUUGGUUUUUUCACUAGCUAAACUUGAUUAACCACUCUAACUAGCCAAGCCAAAUUAGAUAGUUGGAGUGAGAUGUUAGAGCGUAAUCUUUAUAGAAAAAUAAAGUCAAAUGCGAGAGAAAAUUUAAAAGGCUUGGAGAUGCUGUGACUACGUGAUUUUGUCGGUAGCGAAGCACACGCACGGCAUUUUUGUUUACUCUCGUAUUUUAAGGGAAGUUUUUAUUCGAUUGUCUUUGUUUUGUUAUUGGGCUCUGUUCCAGUUGGGCCGCCUUUCAUUACCAGAUUCUGGCUGCCUUUCGCUCUUCUGCCUUCUUGCUUGGUUGCCCCAUCCGACACGCCUCCUCUUCCUCGUUGCCCCUCGGCCCUCAUCCCCUGCAUCUGCUCCCCCUCUAGGCCUCUACCGAACCCUAGCCGGCCAGCUGAGCUUAUUGAAGGCAAGCUAGGCGAGAGCAGCGUCCGCCGCCGCGCUCUCAUGGCGGCGCCCAAACCGAUCUGGGUGCGCCAGGCUGAGGAGGCAAAGCUCAAGUCCGAGGCGGAGACCGCUGCCGCCGCCAAGGCCGCCUUCGACGCCACCUUCAAGGCCCUCGCUGCCGCGUCUGGUGACGACUACAACGAUGUCGACCCCGCCCCACCCUCCCCAGCCGAGCUCACCUCCACCGACUCGGACGACGAUGCUCCGGCCCUGCCAGGCCCGGUCGACCCGUCCAAGUGCUCCGCCGCGGGGCCUGGCAUCGCUGGCGGCUCUGCCGGAACGCCCUCCACUUUCACCGUCGUCGCCAAGGAUCGCCACAGCCGGAGGCUCACCGCCGGUGGGGCGCGCGUGCACGUGCGUGUCUCGCCCGCUGCGGGAGUCGGCGGGGACGAUCUCGAAGGCACUGUCAAGGACAACGGGGACGGAUCCUACACGGUCACCUACGUCGUCCCCAAGCGCGGCAACUACAUGGUACACGUUGAGCUUGACGGCGUCUCCGUCAUGGGGAGCCCCUUCCCCGUCUUCUUCAGCGGUUCCACCGCCACACCAUCAGCCGCUUUCCCCACCGCGCUACCUGCUGUCAGCUCUGCCUACCCCAACAUGGUUAACCAGACCAUGCCUAAUAUGCCCAAUUACACAGGCGCGCCCUCCAGUGCCUUCCCCAGCCUCCUCGGGGCCAUGCCUAGUUCCACCGCUGGGUCCUCGGGCGGAGUCAUCCUGCCAGGGGUUGGUGCUUCACUGGGGGAGAUAUGCCGGGACUACAUGAACGGGAGGUGCACAAAGGUGGAGACUGACUGUAAGUUCACCCAUCCACCGCAACAGCUGCUGAUGUCGUUGCUUGCUGCCACGACUUCUGUCAGUGCUCUCGGGCAUGCGCCCUUGGCGCCCUCUGCGGCUGCCAUGGCAGCUGCUCAGGCCAUCAUGGCUGCCCAGGCACUGCAGGCACAUGCUGCACAGGCCAAAGCUGCAGGUGGAACUUCAGGCUCAACAAACAAAGCUGAUGAAGCUGAUGCCCUGAAGAGAACAGUUCAAAUUAGCAACCUGAGUCCACUUCUUACUGUGGAUUAUAUUAAACAGCUAUUUGGAUUUUGUGGUAAAGUUGUUGAUUGUGUCAUGACAGAUACAAAGCAGAUUGUGUAUGUUGAGUACUCCAAACCUGAAGAAGCAACUGCAGCAUUGGAGCUCAAUAGCAAGAGUGUUGGUGGUCGUCCAUUGAAUGUGGAGAUGGCUAAAGCUCUUCCUCCUAAAGCAAAUAAUAACUUGCCUAUGAUGAUGCAGCAAGCCGUUCAGUUGCAACAGAUACAAUUCCAGCAGGCACUAAUGAUGCAACAGUCAAUAGCAGCCCAACAGGCUGCUGCACGUGCUGCCACCAUGAAAUCUGCCACUGAAGCAGCUGCAGCAAGGGCUGCUGAGAUAAGCAGGAAGUUGAAGGCAGAGGGCUUUGGUGGGGACAACAUGGAAGAAAAGGAUGCCAAAGGGAAGUCAGGAUCACCAUCUUCCCCUACUCGUAGAUCAAAAUCUCGGUCAAGAUCACCUAUCAAGUACCGUAGGAGCAGACGAUCCCGCUCCUACUCUCCCCCAGUUGGACGCUCAAGGGAGCAUCGAUCACGAUCACCAUCAAGAUCUCGCCACUCAAAGCAUGGUAGUGAUCGAUCACAUAGGGAUGAUAAGGAUAUGUAUAGCAGGUCCGGGAGAAGGGAGAGUGAACGAUCCCGUGAUCAUCAUUCAUCUCGUUCAAGGAGGAACAGAAGCAAAAGUAGAAGUCCAAGGCAUAAGAAGCCCUCCAGAGUUGACUCUAGGUCACCCAAGAAACAAAGACUCGAAAGUUUAAGCCCAUCAAAAUCAAGGUCGGCUCGGGCUGGUUCAAGGUCACCACGACAUCAUAAGGGAAGCAAAUCAUCGCCAACUAGUGAUCGUCAUUCUCGCCAUAGCAGGCAUUCAAGGUCCAGAUCUCUUGACAGAAAGCAUCAUCACAGUGAUAAAAAGGACAGCAGAAAGUCUGAGAUUCAGGACGACAGAAGAUCUCAUAGAGGCAGCAGACGCGACAAAGAUGAAAGUUCAGUGAAGGAUGAUGGGGAAAGAUCUCAUAGAGGUAGUAGACGCGACAAAGAUGAAAGUUCAGUGAAGGAUGAUGGGGAAAGAUCUCAUAGAGGUAGCAGACGCAACAAAGAUGAAAGUUCAGUGAAGGAUGAUGGGGAAAGAUCUCAUAGAGGUAGCAGACGCGACAAAGAUGAAAGUUCAGUGAAGGAUGAUGGGGAAAGAUCUCAUAGAGGUAGCAGACGCGGCAAAGAUGAAAGUUCAGUGAAGGAUGAUGGGGAAAGAUCUCAUAGAGGUAGCAGACUCGACAAAGAUGAAAGUUCAGUGAAGGAUGAUGGGGAAAGAUCUCAUAGAGGUAGCAGACGCGACAAAGAUGAAAGUUCAGUGAAGGAUGAUGGGGAAAGAUCUCAUAGAGGUAGCAGACGCGACAAAGAUGAAAAUUCAGUGAAGGAUGAUGGGGAACGAUCUCAUAGAAGCAGUAGAGGUGACAACGAUGGAAGGUCUGUAAAAGAUCCAGUGGAAGAUAAAAGGGUGGAUAGUAAUGCUGUCGCACAUAAGAGGAGCUCUGAAGAUGAAAUCCUGAACAACAAUAGUAGUAACCAUAAGAAACAUAGACAUGAAGUUGGUUUGGAAGUUGAUGAAGGAAAUGAUGUGUGCCCUGCUGUAGCAGACCCUAAUGGGAAACAUGAAACUGGAGUAGGUGGAUCUUUAGGGGGCGCUGCAGAAUCUGCUAUAUGAUAGCUGCUGUAUCAUUCAGUUGGCUGUUUGCAGAUUGAUUGAUGAUGAUGGAGAAUGCUGAACUGGUGUUUAUUAUCUCCCUUUCUGAUUUAGGAGUUUUAUUUGCAGGGCAUGAAGAUCUUCGGAGAACUCGAGUGCUGUUCGGAGCGCUCAUCUGAUAUAUUAAAAUGCUUAUGAUUCCAUGAAGAGUUGUUGGAGCACAUUUCUGGGAUGUCGGUUGAAGAUACAAGGAAGUACACACUCAAGUAAAGUCCAUAUACAAGACUAUAAACAACUCAUAUUCUAGGCUCUUGCAUUUGAACUGGAAUGCUUUGGCUAGUAAAAUUGUCCAAAUAUGCUUGUCCGCCUUCUGACGCACUUUGUUUGUUAGAAGUCCUGUUUUUGUAUCUUGUAUCAGGAAUGGUUCAAAAAGUUUGACCUGAUAUACCAUACUUGUACACUGUCUUUUGACAGUCACAUGGAAUUGUGAAUUGUGAUGUAAGUUUUAUAUAUCUUGUCUUCUGCUUAAUUUUGACCGGUCUACCUGAAGUUGCUAUGAGUAUAUCGGUUAUGGCAUUCAUUAUUGUUUAUUUUGUUCUAGUUUUUUACCCCCUUAUGGGUGACAGGGUUCUGCCUAUAAAACAGAGGCAAUCGAUCCGUUAUUUGA
Zea mays is the source of this 4691-nucleotide RNA transcript. It is a transcript of the gene named nipped-B-like protein B, with no coding region annotated. The record is from RefSeq and is a predicted model, not a curated record. Lineage: Eukaryota; Viridiplantae; Streptophyta; Magnoliopsida; Poales; Poaceae. The transcript has 4 exons.